Molecule: long non-coding RNA, 2845 nt
Organism: Ailuropoda melanoleuca (giant panda)
Lineage: Eukaryota; Metazoa; Chordata; Mammalia; Carnivora; Ursidae
Exons: 4
Source: RefSeq, a predicted model, not a curated record
GUAGCGCAUUGACCCCGAAGGGGAUUUAGCGGGAAGGGAGAGGCCGGGCUCCGAUGGCUUUGUCCCGGGGCGACCAGAGAGGCCGAGGCACAAGAAUAAGGAGCGACCGCGUCUUGAAAGGCCGCGCCGAGGCGGCGGGGCUGCUGCUCUUGACUUCUGAGCAGGGCUUAGAAAGCUUGUCCCGGCUUAAACCAAACGGCCGGCGCUGGGCCCUGAGCGCCGAGUCCGCGGGCUCAGAGCCUCCGGCCUCGGAGCCGUGGGAUGAGGGGGAACUGGGGUGGCGGGGGAUCUGGCAAAGCUGUUUUUGGCUCUACAACCGCCUGACUCUAGCGCAGAGCUGCUAGCCUGACUCGCAGCGCCAGGGGAUGGCCAGAGCAAGAAUUUUCUUUUUCCAACUUCGGCUUUUGAUUUUGUGUGUCCACUUCCGAGCAGCUCCAGAGCCGACUGACCCCAAAUGGAUUCCCAACAGGUGGCCGGCCACCUCCAUCUCCAGCCUAGAUCAACCUAACUCCCCCAUCCCCCGUUCUCUCGCCGCCACCAAUCUGGAUCCCCGGCUGGGUCGGCAGUGAGAUGCCAGGUCUGCAGGUCCAGCGCUCGCUGAGGAGAGACAGACCCACCGACUGAUGGACUGGCAAUGGCCUUUUACGAACAAACUGACCUGAAGUUAGACGCAAGUCCGCAUCUUUCUCCCUCACGCUCUUGAAAAAACACAUCAAGAUUCCAGGAAGGCACCAGUCCCCGCACGAUCCAUCUGAGAAUCGCUUGCAGCCGCAGGCAAGCACACACAGCACCCCCACCCCUGCACGCCCCAGGCCGGCGCUUCGCGGGCCCCGAGACUAGAAGGCGAGCCGGCUCGCAAGGCGGCUCCCAGCAAAGGAUCCCGGGGCUCCUUCGUCCGUUUGGUGGCCUGGAGGUGGGGUGUGGCCGCGAGCCUCGAAGCGACCUAGCGACUCCGUCUCCACCCCUCCCCCCAAUUUGGCUCGACCCCGCCGAAAUUCACCGAGACAAGUCCCAGACGCUGUUUGGACCCUUCCAGAAGGGAGCAAGGCGCAGGAUCGUCGGAGGGUGUGCCUCUCCGUGAAGAAGUUGGGCAGAUGAAGAUGUAAGAGAGGCCUAGAGGGCCCCAGGGCUAGGAAGCCUUAUUAACCUCACAUCCCUCCCAAAGCCCCGAGUUUGCACUUGCACGCCUCCUCCUCCCGCUGCAGUUCCAGCGGGUCGCGCACGUCAGGCUUAAGCCGAGUCACCUGACCGUGCACGGAACGUACAGGCAGUUGUACCCGAAUACACACUAUGAAUUAGAGGAACGCUAAGAACAGAAUUUGAGGAAAAAAGAAGUGUCCACAGACAGAAUCAUUCCAGCGCACGGCCCAGUUGUCCAGCUGCUGACAAAAACCACAGUGCGGUCGUGGAGUGACCCCGGCCACACGGGGCGUACUACAGGAAACCACACACCGGAGAGUGGGCCGACUGAGGAUGCAGGCUUCGAAGCCAAGGGCUUCCUGCUAGAGGGACAUUUGCUCCCGAGGGAAAACCUUUGUUGAGCCGACUGGGUAAAAGGUUUCAGGUCAAGUCCAGGAGGCUACAAAGAGCACCUCCUCCACCCCAAAGCUGACCCUUUCCCCUUCCUCCCAGCUGAGCUGGAGGCGCACAGAAGAGGGCAAUCCAGGAAAGGUUCCUUCGGACCGGGAUGGUUUAUUUGUUAUUAUUAUUGGUUUAGGAGCUUGCAUUCUGAUGGAGGACGGGCUGGAGAGCAUAGGAACAUCACUUAGCGCUUAGCGCGCACCUAAUACCUAAUGGGAAACUUGGGCCCUAAUCAGGUUCACAUGGGGGAGGGCCCUGAUUUUGUCCCUAUAACUCCUCUUAUGCUAAAUUUAGUCUUUAAAAAGGUUAGCUUAGCUCCACAUCUUCCUUCCUUCACUUCCAGCCCAGUCCCCUUGGUAUAAAAUAAGUCAGCAAAAGAACGCUCCAAAGAACACCAAAUUAUUUGGUUUACUAAACUCCUUUUCUUUGUGAGAUAUGGGUAAGUUCUCACCCCCUCCUCUGCUGUCCCAGGCAGAAGUUCCCAUCCAGGCCCAGUGGGGGUGGGGAUUGAAGAGGAGGGAGUGAUUCCCAGAGGAGCUCUCCCAGAAAGGCCCAAACAAGUGCAAGGACUUGUUUUUGGUUUCAACUCUGUUUGCCUGUCUAGUCUGGGCGAACCUUCCAGACAGUAGCCACCACGGUUUUCCUGCAGAAGAGGCAGGCAUGUUGGAUGCAAUGGUGCCCUUCUCUCCACUUCACCUCUCUCCCCGACUCUCUCUCUCUCUCUGAAAGUAGAGGGUAAGUUUGAGAAGAUUCUUUUAGACCAAAAAAAAAAGGGGGGGGGAAGAGGACGUUCUGGGCCAGUAAGUUGGAUGACCACCCUCCAAGGGACAGAGGGUCUGUCUCCUGAAGAAGAGAUGAACCAUCUGGAAAACACUGCAGGAGGACACUUUUAAAUAAAUGUAGUUACCCUAGAAAUGGAGGGGGGUUGGGAGUAGGAGUAGGGAAAAAGUUCUUUCCUUUGGGGGACAAACACUGUGUCCUUCGAAUUUUUCCCAAAGAUACACUUGAUUGCUGGAAAUUGUAGUAAGAGUUUGUUCUUGUAGAUGUUUUAAACAAUAAAGAGUGCAAAUCAUUACAUAUUUUAGACUCAAUCUUCCUUGGAAGGGCAGUUUCUUCCAAGACCUUUUUCUUUCCCCAGGUUUGUCUUUCCUUAUUCCCUAGUAAGAGCCCACCUGCUGAUGCCCCUUAGGGAGAGACUAUGACAGAAAGCGAGAGAAACGAAUAAGGAGGAGACCAUCACCCCCAAACCCGGAGUGACUGCCAU